Non-coding RNA from Triticum aestivum (bread wheat), 125 nucleotides. The record is from Rfam. NCBI's taxonomy places the organism in Eukaryota, Viridiplantae, Streptophyta, Magnoliopsida, Poales, Poaceae.
AUUGUACUUCCUUUGUCCGGAAAUAUUUAUCGUCAAAAUGGAUAUAAAUGGAUGUAUCUAGAAUUAAAAUACAUCUAGAUACAUCCAUUCUUCGAACAAAUAUUUUCGGACAGAGGGAAUACAAG